RNAcentral lists this ribosomal RNA (252 nucleotides) under uncultured bacterium. RNAcentral's name for it is "partial 16S ribosomal RNA". It matches the Rfam family "Bacterial small subunit ribosomal RNA", at positions 524 to 776 of the family's 1533-position model. The record is from RNAcentral.
UACGGAGGGAGCUAGCGUUGUUCGGAAAUACUGGGCGUAAAGCGCACGUAGGCGGCGCAGCAAGUCAGGGGUGAAAUCCCGGGGCUCAACCCCGGAACUGCCCUUGAAACUGCAGUGCUAGAAUCUUGGAGAGGCGAGUGGAAUUCCGAGUGUAGAGGUGAAAUUCGUAGAUAUUCGGAAGAACACCAGUGGCGAAGGCGACUCGCUGGACAAGUAUUGACGCUGAGGUGCGAAAGCGUGGGAGCAAACAGG